GAUGAACGCUGGCGGCGUGCCUAAUACAUGCAAGUCGAGCGAACGGACGAGAAGCUUGCUUUUCUGAUGUUAGCGGCGGACGGGUGAGUAACACGUGGAUAACCUACCUAUAAGACUGGGAUAACUUCGGGAAACCGGAGCUAAUACCGGAUAAUAUUUUGAACCGCAUGGUUCAAAAGUGAAAGACGGUCUUGCUGUCACUUAUAGAUGGAUCCGCGCUGCAUUGGCUAGUUGGUAAGGUAACGGCUUACCAAGGCAACGAUGCAUAGCCGACCUGAGAGGGUGAUCGGCCACACUGGAACUGAGACACGGUCCAGACUCCUACGGGAGGCAGCAGUAGGGAAUCUUCCGCAAUGGGCGAAAGCCUGACGGAGCAACGCCGCGUGAGUGAUGAGGGUCUUCGGAUCGUAAAACUCUGUUAUUAGGGAAGAACAUAUGUGUAAGUAACUGUGCACAUCUUGACGGUACCUAAUCAGAAAGCCACGGCUAACUACGUG
RNAcentral lists this ribosomal RNA (497 nucleotides) under uncultured bacterium. Its description in RNAcentral is "partial 16S ribosomal RNA". It matches the Rfam family "Bacterial small subunit ribosomal RNA", at positions 28 to 507 of the family's 1533-position model. The record is from RNAcentral.